CCUACGGGAGGCAGCAGUGAGGAAUAUUGGUCAAUGGCCGGAAGUCUGAACCAGCCAAGCCGCGUGAAGGACGAAGGUGCCACGCAUUGUAAACUUCUUUUGUCAAGGGACAAAAUCAGGCUCGAGAGCCUGACCGAGGGUACUUGAAGAACAAGCAUCGGCUAACUCCGUGCCAGCAGCCGCGGUAAUACGGAGGAUGCGAGCGUUAUCCGGAUUUAUUGGGUUUAAAGGGUGCGUAGGCGGACGGUUAAGUCAGCGGUAAAAGCCCGGGGCGCAACCCCGGCGAGCCGUUGAAACUGGCUGUCUUGAGAUGGCGAGAGGUAUGCGGAAUGCGCAGUGUAGCGGUGAAAUGCUUAGAUAUUGCGCAGAACUCCGAUUGCGAAGGCAGCAUACCGGCGGCGAUCUGACGCUGAGGCACGAAAGCGUGGGUAUCGAACAGGAUUAGAUACCCCAGUAGUC
This 459-nucleotide ribosomal RNA is filed under the name uncultured bacterium. RNAcentral describes it as "partial 16S ribosomal RNA". It matches the Rfam family "Bacterial small subunit ribosomal RNA", at positions 338 to 795 of the family's 1533-position model. The record is from RNAcentral.